RNAcentral lists this ribosomal RNA (1269 nucleotides) under Arthrobacter sp. RNAcentral's name for it is "bacterial SSU rRNA". It matches the Rfam family "Bacterial small subunit ribosomal RNA", at positions 66 to 1347 of the family's 1533-position model. Lineage: Bacteria; Bacillati; Actinomycetota; Actinomycetes; Micrococcales; Micrococcaceae. The record is from RNAcentral.
AUGACUUUUGUGCUUGCACANNAUGAUUAGUGGCGAACGGGUGAGUAACACGUGAGUAACCUGCCCCUGACUCUGGGAUAAGCCUGGGAAACUGGGUCUAAUACUGGAUAUGCACCGUANACCGCAUGGUUUUUGGUGGAAAGAAUUUUGGUCAGGGAUGGACUCGCGGCCUAUCAGCUUGUUGGUGAGGUAAUGGCUCACCAAGGCGACGACGGGUAGCCGGCCUGAGAGGGUGACCGGCCACACUGGGACUGAGACACGGCCCAGACUCCUACGGGAGGCAGCAGUGGGGAAUAUUGCACAAUGGGCGAAAGCCUGAUGCAGCGACGCCGCGUGAGGGAUGACGGCCUUCGGGUUGUAAACCUCUUUCAGUAGGGAAGAAGCGAAAGUGACGGUACCUGCAGAAGAAGCGCCGGCUAACUACGUGCCAGCAGCCGCGGUAAUACGUAGGGCGCAAGCGUUAUCCGGAAUUAUUGGGCGUAAAGAGCUCGUANGCGGUUUGUCGCGUCUGCCGUGAAAGUCCGAGGCUCANCUUCNGAUCUGCGGUGGGUACGGGCAGACUAGAGUGAUGUAGGGGAGACUGGAAUUCCUGGUGUAGCGGUGAAAUGCGCAGAUAUCAGGAGGAACACCGAUGGCGAAGGCAGGUCUCUGGGCAUCUACUGACGCUGAGGAGCGAAAGCAUGGGGAGCGAACAGGAUUAGAUACCCUGGUAGUCCAUGCCGUAAACGUUGGGCACUAGGUGUGGGGGACAUUCCACGUUUUNCGCGCCGUAGCUAACGCAUUAAGUGCCCCGCCUGGGGAGUACGGCCGCAAGGCUAAAACUCAAAGGAAUUGACGGGGGCCCGCNCNAGCGGCGGAGCNUGCGGAUUAAUUCGAUGCAACGCGAAGAACCUUACCAAGGCUUGACAUGUGCUAGAUCGCCAUAGAAAUAUGGUUUCCCCUUUGGGGCUGGUUCACAGGUGGUGCAUGGUUGUCGUCAGCUCGUGUCGUGAGAUGUUGGGUUAAGUCCCGCAACGAGCGCAACCCUCGUUCUAUGUUGCCAGCACGUUAUGGUGGGGACUCAUAGGAGACUGCCGGGGUCAACUCGGAGGAAGGUGGGGACGACGUCAAAUCAUCAUGCCCCUUAUGUCUUGGGCUUCACGCAUGCUACAAUGGCCGGUACAAUGGGUUGCGAUACUGUGAGGUGGAGCUAAUCCCAAAAAGCCGGUCUCAGUUCGGAUUGGGGUCUGCAACUCGACCCCAUGAAGUCGGAGUCGCUAGUAAUCGCAG